CCUACGGGAGACAGCAGUGAGGAAUAUUGGUCAAUGGGCGUAAGCCUGAACCAGCCAAGCCGCGUGAGGGAUGAAGGUUCUAUGGAUCGUAAACCUCUUUUAUCAGAGAAUAAAGCGUGGGACGUGUCCUAUUUUGUAUGUACCUUAUGAAUAAGGAUCGGCUAACUCCGUGCCAGCAGCCGCGGUAAUACGGAGGAUCCGAGCGUUAUCCGGAUUUAUUGGGUUUAAAGGGUGCGUAGGCGGCCUUUUAAGUCAGCGGUGAAAUUCUGGGGCUCAACCCUCGAAUUGCCGUUGAAACUGGGGGGCUUGAGUAGGUUUGAGGCAGGCGGAAUGCGUGGUGUAGCGGUGAAAUGCAUAGAUAUCACGCAGAACCCCGAUUGCGAAGGCAGCGUACCGGGCCAUGACUGACGCUGAGGCACGAAAGCGUGGGGAUCGAACAGGAUUAGAUACCCUAGUAGUC
This 460-nucleotide ribosomal RNA is filed under the name uncultured bacterium. RNAcentral describes it as "partial 16S ribosomal RNA". It matches the Rfam family "Bacterial small subunit ribosomal RNA", at positions 338 to 795 of the family's 1533-position model. The record is from RNAcentral.